GACGAACGCUGGCGGCGUGCUUAACACAUGCAAGUCGAACGGAAAGGCCCUGCUUUUGUGGGGUGCUCGAGUGGCGAACGGGUGAGUAACACGUGAGUAACCUGCCCUUGACUUUAGGAUAACUUCAGGAAACUGGGGCUAAUACCGGAUAGGAGCUCCUGCUGCAUGGUGGGGGUUGGAAAGUUUCGGCGGUUGGGGAUGGACUCGCGGCUUAUCAGCUUGUUGGUGGGGUAGUGGCUUACCAAGGCUUUGACGGGUAGCCGGCCUGAGAGGGUGACCGGCCACAUUGGGACUGAGAUACGGCCCAGACUCCUACGGGAGGCAGCAGUGGAGAAUAUUGCACAAUGGGCGGAAGCCUGAUGCAGCAACGCCGCGUGCGGGAUGACGGCCUUCGGGUUGUAAACCGAUUUCGCCUGUGACGAGGCGUGAGUGACGGUAAUGGGUAAAGAAGCACCGGCUAACUACGUG
RNAcentral lists this ribosomal RNA (468 nucleotides) under uncultured bacterium. Its description in RNAcentral is "partial 16S ribosomal RNA". It matches the Rfam family "Bacterial small subunit ribosomal RNA", at positions 28 to 507 of the family's 1533-position model. The record is from RNAcentral.